GAUGAACGCUGGCGGCGUGCUUAACACAUGCAAGUCGAACGAUGAAGCCCAGCUUGCUGGGUGGAUUAGUGGCGAACGGGUGAGUAACACGUGAGUAACCUGCCCUUAACUCUGGGAUACGCCUGGGAAACUGGGUCUAAUACCGGAUAGGAGCGUCCACCGCAUGGUGGGUGUUGGAAAGAUUUAUGGGUUUUGGAUGGAUUCGCGGCCUAUCAGCUUGUUGGUGAGGUACUGGCUCACCAAGGCGACGACGGGUAGCCGGCCUGAGAGGGGGACCGGCCACACUGGGACUGAGACACGGCCCAGACACCUACGGGAGGCAGCAGUGGGGAAUAUUGCACAAUGGGCGCAAGCCUGAUGCAGAGACGCCGCGUGAGGGAUGACGGCCUUCGGGGUGUAAACCGCUUUCAGUAGGGAAGAAGCGAAAGUGACGGUACCUGCAGAAGAAGCACCGGCUAACUACGUG
Molecule: ribosomal RNA, 466 nt
Filed under: uncultured bacterium
Lineage: Bacteria
Description: partial 16S ribosomal RNA
Rfam family: Bacterial small subunit ribosomal RNA
Source: RNAcentral